RNAcentral lists this ribosomal RNA (758 nucleotides) under Escherichia coli. RNAcentral's name for it is "partial 23S ribosomal RNA". It matches the Rfam family "Bacterial large subunit ribosomal RNA", at positions 2041 to 2798 of the family's 2925-position model. Lineage: Bacteria; Pseudomonadati; Pseudomonadota; Gammaproteobacteria; Enterobacterales; Enterobacteriaceae. The record is from RNAcentral.
AUUGAACUCGCUGUGAAGAUGCAGUGUACCCGCGGCAAGACGGAAAGACCCCGUGAACCUUUACUAUAGCUUGACACUGAACAUUGAGCCUUGAUGUGUAGGAUAGGUGGGAGGCUUUGAAGUGUGGACGCCAGUCUGCAUGGAGCCGACCUUGAAAUACCACCCUUUAAUGUUUGAUGUUCUAACGUUGACCCGUGAUCCGGGUUGCGGACAGUGUCUGGUGGGUAGUUUGACUGGGGCGGUCUCCUCCUAAAGAGUAACGGAGGAGCACGAAGGUUGGCUAAUCCUGGUCGGACAUCAGGAGGUUAGUGCAAUGGCAUAAGCCAGCUUGACUGCGAGCGUGACGGCGCGAGCAGGUGCGAAAGCAGGUCAUAGUGAUCCGGUGGUUCUGAAUGGAAGGGCCAUCGCUCAACGGAUAAAAGGUACUCCGGGGAUAACAGGCUGAUACCGCCCAAGAGUUCAUAUCGACGGCGGUGUUUGGCACCUCGAUGUCGGCUCAUCACAUCCUGGGGCUGAAGUAGGUCCCAAGGGUAUGGCUGUUCGCCAUUUAAAGUGGUACGCGAGCUGGGUUUAGAACGUCGUGAGACAGUUCGGUCCCUAUCUGCCGUGGGCGCUGGAGAACUGAGGGGGGCUGCUCCUAGUACGAGAGGACCGGAGUGGACGCAUCACUGGUGUUCGGGUUGUCAUGCCAAUGGCACUGCCCGGUAGCUAAAUGCGGAAGAGAUAAGUGCUGAAAGCAUCUAAGCACGAAACUUGCC